GGUUAACGUAUCGGAAUACUGGGCGUAAGCGCGCGUAGGCGGCUUGAUAAGCCGGUUGUGAAAGCCCCGGGCACAACCUGGGAAUGGCAUCCGGAACUGUCAGGCUAGAGUGCAGGAGAGGAAGGUAGAAUUCCCGGUGUAGCGGUGAAAUGCGUAGAGAUCGGGAGGAAUACCAGUGGUUUUUUCCUGAC
Molecule: ribosomal RNA, 191 nt
Filed under: uncultured Halomonas sp.
Lineage: Bacteria; Pseudomonadati; Pseudomonadota; Gammaproteobacteria; Oceanospirillales; Halomonadaceae
Description: partial 16S ribosomal RNA
Rfam family: Bacterial small subunit ribosomal RNA
Source: RNAcentral